GACUGUGAACACGCAGGCUGAGGGCUGUG
Molecule: non-coding RNA, 29 nt
Filed under: Cricetulus griseus (Chinese hamster)
Lineage: Eukaryota; Metazoa; Chordata; Mammalia; Rodentia; Cricetidae
Source: RNAcentral